This 212-nucleotide long non-coding RNA is filed under the name Mytilus galloprovincialis (Mediterranean mussel). Lineage: Eukaryota; Metazoa; Mollusca; Bivalvia; Mytilida; Mytilidae. The record is from RNAcentral.
GGCGCGACAUGUAAAAAAAACCCUCCCCUUUUUUACAAAAUACUCAAUAACUCAAAAAUAAAAUUUUGAGUCAUCACCAAAAAGUAUACAGAUCUUCAGAUUAAUAUAACAAAGAAGUGUGUAAAGUUUUAAGCAAUAAUCAUAAAUCGUUUUUGAGAUACGGUACGACAUGUAAAAUCUCCCUCCCCCUUUUUUAUAAAAUACUCAAUAAC